CAAGAAGAAUUUUUUGCCAAAUUCAAGAUUCUUCAAGAUCUCUUCACUGGAAUCUCUAACCAGGACAAGGCGCCUUCAGCAGGAUUUUCAGCCAAAACCAAGAUUCUUCAAGAUCUCUUCACCGGAAUCUCUUACCAAGACAAGGUCGAGUCUUCACUGGGAUUUUUUUAGCCAAGAAGGAAUUUCCGCCAAAUCCAAGAUUCUUCAAGAUCUCUUCACUGGAAUCUCUCACCAAGACAAGGCUGAAUGAGUGUUUUAUGGCACAUUAGAAGUGAAUAUAAGCUUCCAGUGUCAAAUUAAAGAACAAUACUGUACAUAAAAUCCAUAAAUACUGUAUUUAAGCUUUGGGAAAAGUUCUACUAGGAGACUCUGAUGCCAUGUCUCUCUUUACCUCGACCAAUCACGAG
RNAcentral lists this long non-coding RNA (407 nucleotides) under Astyanax mexicanus (Mexican tetra). Its description in RNAcentral is "lncRNA (ENSAMXG00005004913.1)". Lineage: Eukaryota; Metazoa; Chordata; Actinopteri; Characiformes; Acestrorhamphidae. The record is from RNAcentral.